GAUGAACGCUGGCGGCGUGCCUAAUACAUGCAAGUCGAGCGAACAGACGAGGAGCUUGCUCCUCUGACGUUAGCGGCGGACAGGUGAGUAACACGUGGAUAACCUACCUAUAAGACUGGGAUAACUUCGGGAAACCGGAGCUAAUACCGGAUAAUAUAUUGAACCGCAUGGUUCAAUAGUGAAAGACGGUUUUGCUGUCACUUAUAGAUGGAUCCGCGCCGCAUUAGCUAGUUGGUAAGGUAACAGCUUACCAAGGCAACGAUGCGUAGCCGACCUGAGAGGGUGAUCGGCCACACUGGAACUGAGACACGGUCCAGACUCCUACGGGAGGCAGCAGUAGGGAAUCUUCCGCAAUGGGCGAAAGCCUGACGGAGCAACGCCGCGUGAGUGAUGAAGGUCUUCGGAUCGUAAAACUCUGUUAUUAGGGAAGAACAAAUGUGUAAGUAACUAUGCACGUCUUGACGGUACCUAAUCAGAAAGCCACGGCUAACUACGUG
RNAcentral lists this ribosomal RNA (497 nucleotides) under uncultured bacterium. Its description in RNAcentral is "partial 16S ribosomal RNA". It matches the Rfam family "Bacterial small subunit ribosomal RNA", at positions 28 to 507 of the family's 1533-position model. The record is from RNAcentral.